Bos taurus (domestic cattle) is the source of this 362-nucleotide long non-coding RNA. NCBI's taxonomy places the organism in Eukaryota, Metazoa, Chordata, Mammalia, Artiodactyla, Bovidae. The record is from Ensembl.
UGGUGUCCAGAGUUCAAUCACAGAAACUUCUGUACAUAAAAGUUUCAAUAUUAAAUAAUAGUAAGCAUUUUAUAAAGCUAGCCUUGGCCAGGAAGCUUCGCUUUCAGGUUAAAAGCAGGAAUCUAGGAAGCUUACAUUUCCAAGAUCCCUUCAAAUUAAGUUUGGACCAAGUGACUGGCUUCUCCUGCAUUGGCUGUGGCCUCUUUAGGCCUUUGUGUUUAUCCUCACUCCACCUAUUUCAGUAGUGAUCUGGGAGGCCAUACGAUCAAGAGGGCAGGAUCACAGCAUAGCUGAACUGUAAAGAAAAUGAAACUUGAAGCUUUCAGAAGGAAAUUUGAAGCUUCAUUUCAUUCCAGUAAUGA